GAUUAGAGUUUGAUCAUGGCUCAGGAUGAACGCUAGCGGCAGGCCUAACACAUGCAAGUCGAGGGGCAGCAUAGAAAUAGCUUGCUAUUUUGGUGGCGACCGGCGCACGGGUGCGUAACGCGUAUGCAACCUACCCUGUACUGAGGCAUAGCCCGGAGAAAUUCGGAUUAAUCCCUCAUAGUAUUAUUGAAUCGCAUGGUUUAAUAAUUAAAGGAUACGGUACAGGAUGGGCAUGCGUCCUAUUAGCUAGUUGGUACGGUAACGGCGUACCAAGGCGACGAUAGGUAGGGGGCCUGAGAGGGUGGUCCCCCACACUGGUACUGAGACACGGACCAGACUCCUACGGGAGGCAGCAGUGAGGAAUAUUGGUCAAUGGGCGCAAGCCUGAACCAGCCAUGCCGCGUGCAGGAAGAAUGCCCUAUGGGUUGUAAACUGCUUUUAUUUGGGAAUAAACCUCUUUACGUGUAGAGAGCUGAAGGUACCAAAGAAUAG
RNAcentral lists this ribosomal RNA (492 nucleotides) under uncultured bacterium. RNAcentral's name for it is "bacterial SSU rRNA". It matches the Rfam family "Bacterial small subunit ribosomal RNA", at positions 1 to 488 of the family's 1533-position model. The record is from RNAcentral.